Molecule: ribosomal RNA, 233 nt
Filed under: uncultured bacterium
Lineage: Bacteria
Description: partial 16S ribosomal RNA
Rfam family: Bacterial small subunit ribosomal RNA
Source: RNAcentral
UACGUAGGGUGCAAGCGUUGUCCGGAAUUAUUGGGCGUAAAGAGCUCGUAGGCGGUUUGUCGCGUCUGCUGUGAAAACCUAAGGCUCAACCUUGGGCUUGCAGUGGGUACGGGCAGACUAGAGUGCGGUAGGGGUGACUGGAAUUCCUGGUGUAGCGGUGGAAUGCGCAGAUAUCAGGAGGAACACCGGUGGCGAAGGCGGGUCUCUGGGCCGAUACUGACGCUGGAGGAGCG